This 1143-nucleotide unclassified non-coding RNA is filed under the name Bradyrhizobium sp. RNAcentral's name for it is "partial contains 16S ribosomal RNA, 16S-23S ribosomal RNA intergenic spacer, and 23S ribosomal RNA". The stretch from base 847 to 1143 matches the Rfam family "Bacterial large subunit ribosomal RNA", at positions 1 to 209 of the family's 2925-position model. The record is from RNAcentral. Lineage: Bacteria; Pseudomonadati; Pseudomonadota; Alphaproteobacteria; Hyphomicrobiales; Nitrobacteraceae.
CAGCCGGCCACGGUAGGGUCAGCGACUGGGGUGAAGUCGUAACAAGGUAGCCGUAGGGGAACCUGCGGCUGGAUCACCUCCUUUCUAAGGAUGAUCCUUCAGCGAGCUCACGCUCACUAUCGGAUCGUUUUAGAAACAUCAGUGGCCAACAGAUCGCCAGAUCGUUGAGCUGCAUUGGCGGGAUUUCGCCGUCUUCGUUUCUCUUUCUUCGCGGACGAACACGCGCUGGGCCUGCAUCAAGCAGGAUCCCACGGUCCCUGACGGGAUAGGCGUUAGGGGCUUGUAGCUCAGUUGGUUAGAGCGCGCGCUUGAUAAGCGUGAGGUCGGAAGUUCAAGUCUUCCCAGGCCCACCACUUUCAUCGAGUGAGCAUUCGUCUUCUGGUUACGGGGCCAUAGCUCAGCUGGGAGAGCGCGUGCUUUGCAAGCAUGAGGUCGUCGGUUCGAUCCCGUCUGGCUCCACCAGAUGGUUUGAUCACCGAGAUCUUGCACCGUCGUCCGCGAAACAUCACUUCGCAUCCUGCUAGUCUGGAUAGACAGCAAGAUGCGUGUUUUCUGACAUCGUAAAGAGGAGAUCGAUCCGAGUUGGGUCGUGCAGCAGAUUGUUGCGCGAACCUUCAUUAUCUCCGGAUCAUUUUCGGCGCUCGCUUUCAGCCGUGAGGUUGAAUGCGAGUUGUAAAAUGAUCCUUUUAGCGAAGCUUGACCGCCUCGCUAUCGGAACGAUCUUACGAAGCAAGCUGGUCUUUCUAGUCAAUGUCCGGCUGCACGUAGCAUUCAUCGAGGGUGCGCGCCGUAAGGCAAUCGUGCAGACAACAUUCUGCCGAGUGUGUGGACAUUGAUAAUGAGAGCAAUCAAGUGCCUUAAGGGUGUUCGGUGGAUGCCUUGGCGCUGAGAGGCGAUGAAGGACGUGCUACGCUGCGAUAAGCCGUGGGGAGCUGCGAAGAAGCUUUGAUCCGCGGAUUUCCGAAUGGGGAAACCCACCUUCGAUAGCCGGAACUCCAAGACCUUGUGUUUUGGUGUUCGACCAGAAAUGAUCGGGACCAUGACCCUAGAGGUUUUGGAUUUCCGGUUAUCAAGAGAAGGUAUGAGACUUCUGAAUACAUAGGAGGUUUCAAGCAAACCCAGGGAACUGAAACAUCUAAGUAC